CAUGAAGCCGGAAUCGCUAGUAAUCGCGGAUCAGAAUGCCGCGGUGAAUACGUUCCCGGGUCUUGUACACACCGCCCGUCACACCAUGGGAGUCGGAAAUGCCCGAAGUCUGUGACCCAACCGUAAGGAGGGAGCAGCCGAAGGCAGGUCGGAUGACUGGGGUGAAGUCGUAACAAGGUAAC
RNAcentral lists this ribosomal RNA (182 nucleotides) under uncultured bacterium. Its description in RNAcentral is "partial 16S ribosomal RNA". It matches the Rfam family "Bacterial small subunit ribosomal RNA", at positions 1319 to 1500 of the family's 1533-position model. The record is from RNAcentral.